UCGACGAGCCUCAAAUUCAAC
Molecule: non-coding RNA, 21 nt
Filed under: Arabidopsis thaliana (thale cress)
Lineage: Eukaryota; Viridiplantae; Streptophyta; Magnoliopsida; Brassicales; Brassicaceae
Source: RNAcentral